RNAcentral lists this ribosomal RNA (432 nucleotides) under uncultured bacterium. Its description in RNAcentral is "partial 16S ribosomal RNA". It matches the Rfam family "Bacterial small subunit ribosomal RNA", at positions 29 to 507 of the family's 1533-position model. The record is from RNAcentral.
AACGAACGCUGGCGGCAUGCCUAACACAUGCAAGUCGAACGAUACCUUCGGGUCUAGUGGCUCAUGGGUGCGUAACGCGUGGGAACCUGCCCUUAGGUUCGGAAUAACUCCCCGAAAGGGGUGCUAAUACCGGAUAAUUUCUUCGGACCAAAGAUUUAUCGCCUUUGGAUGGGCCCGCGUUUGAUUAGCCUGUUGGUAGGGUAAAAGCCUACCAAGGCGACGAUCCAUAGCUGGUCUGAGAGGAUGAUCAGCCACACUGGGACUGAGACACGCCCAGACUCCUACGGGAGGCAGGAGUGGGGAAUAUUGGAAAAUGGGCGAAAGGCUGAACCAGCAAUGCUGGGUGAGUGAUGAAGGCGUGAGGGUUGUAAAGCUCUUUUACCCGGGAUGAUAAUGACAGUACCGGGAGAAUAAGCUCCGGCUAACUCCGUG